RNAcentral lists this ribosomal RNA (698 nucleotides) under Malbranchea cavernosa. RNAcentral's name for it is "partial large subunit ribosomal RNA". It matches the Rfam family "Eukaryotic large subunit ribosomal RNA", at positions 215 to 930 of the family's 3401-position model. The record is from RNAcentral. Lineage: Eukaryota; Fungi; Ascomycota; Eurotiomycetes; Onygenales; Malbrancheaceae.
AGAAUCCCGUCUGAGUCGGCUGGCGUGUGCCCGUGCAAAGCUCCUUCGACGAGUCGAGUUGUUUGGGAAUGCAGCUCUAAUUGGGUGGUAAAUUUCAUCUAAAGCUAAAUACUGGCCGGAGACCGAUAGCGAACAAGUAGAGUGAUCGAAAGGUUAAAAGCACCUUGAAAAGGGAGUUAAAUAGCACGUGAAAUUGUUGAAAGGGAAGCGCUUGCAGCCAGACUCGGGUGCGGAGGCUCAGCGGGCAUGUUUGCCCGUGUACUCCUUCGCGCCCGGGCCAGCAUCAGUUUUGGCGGUCGGUCAAAGGCCCUCGGAAUGUGUCGUCCUCCGGGACGUCUUAUAGCCGAGGGUGCAAUGCGGCCAGCUGGGACUGAGGAACGCGCUUCGGCACGGAUGCUGGCAUAAUGGCUGUAAGCGGCCCGUCUUGAAACACGGACCAAGGAGUCUAACAUCCACGCGAGUGUUCGGGUGUCAAACCCGUACGCGCAGUGAAAGCGAACGGAGGUGAGAGCCCGCAAGGGUGCAUCAUCGACCGAUCCUGAAGUCUUCGGAUGGAUUUGAGUAAGAGCGUGGCUGUUGGGACCCGAAAGAUGGUGAACUAUGCCUGAAUAGGGUGAAGCCAGAGGAAACUCUGGUGGAGGCUCGCAGCGGUUCUGACGUGCAAAUCGAUCGUCAAAUUUGGGUAUAGGGGCGAAAGA